GCAGUAGUGGUUCAGUGGUAGAAUUCUUGGCUUUUAUGCAGAAGACCUGGGUUCAAUUCCUGGCAACUGUG
Molecule: transfer RNA, 71 nt
Filed under: Loxodonta africana (African savanna elephant)
Lineage: Eukaryota; Metazoa; Chordata; Mammalia; Proboscidea; Elephantidae
Rfam family: tRNA
About the family: Transfer RNA (tRNA) molecules are approximately 80 nucleotides in length. Their secondary structure includes four short double-helical elements and three loops (D, anti-codon, and T loops).
Source: Rfam by way of RNAcentral